This 198-nucleotide small RNA is filed under the name Marmota monax (woodchuck). Lineage: Eukaryota; Metazoa; Chordata; Mammalia; Rodentia; Sciuridae. The record is from RNAcentral.
UGAAGAUGUUGAUAGCCAAAUAAGUAAGAGGGUUUCCUUUGACUGCAUUCUUUAAAUAAUCUAUUCAUGUAUUAAUUAUUCAAUCACUGUUUAUUGACUGGUAACACACUGUGUGUGUGUGUGUGUGUGUGUGUGUAUGUGCCUGCAUUGUAGGGGUUGCCUGUGUGGACAAGUUAACAUAAUUCUGCCAGUAUCCAU